Molecule: ribosomal RNA, 842 nt
Filed under: uncultured bacterium
Lineage: Bacteria
Description: bacterial SSU rRNA
Rfam family: Bacterial small subunit ribosomal RNA
Source: RNAcentral
AGAGUUUGAUCCUGGCUCAGGACGAACGCUGGCGGCGUGCCUAAUACAUGCAAGUCGAACGCACUCUCGUUUAGAUUGAAGGAGCUUGCUCCUGAUUGAUAAACAUUUGAGUGAGUGGCGGACGGGUGAGUAACACGUGGGUAACCUGCCCUAAAGUGGGGGAUAACAUUUGGAAACAGAUGCUAAUACCGCAUAAAACCUAACACCGCAUGGUGUAGGGUUGAAAGAUGGUUUCGGCUAUCACUUUAGGAUGGACCCGCGGUGCAUUAGUUAGUUGGUGAGGUAAAGGCUCACCAAGACCGUGAUGCAUAGCCGACCUGAGAGGGUAAUCGGCCACACUGGGACUGAGACACGGCCCAGACUCCUACGGGAGGCAGCAGUAGGGAAUCUUCCACAAUGGACGAAAGUCUGAUGGAGCAACGCCGCGUGAGUGAAGAAGGUUUUCGGAUCGUAAAACUCUGUUGUUGGAGAAGAAUGUAUCUGAUAGUAACUGAUCAGGUAGCGACGGUAUCCAACCAGAAAGCCACGGCUAACUACGUGCCAGCAGCCGCGGUAAUACGUAGGUGGCAAGCGUUGUCCGGAUUUAUUGGGCGUAAAGCGAGCGCAGGCGGUUUCUUAAGUCUGAUGUGAAAGCCUUCGGCUCAACCGAAGAAGUGCAUCGGAAACUGGGAAACUUGAGUGCAGAAGAGGACAGUGAAACUCCAUGUGUAGCGGUGAAAUGCGUAGAUAUAUGGAAGAACACCAGCGGCGAAGGCGGCUGUCUGGUCUGUAACUGACGCUGAGGCUCGAAAGCAUGGGUAGCAAACAGGAUUAGAUACCCUGGUAGUCCACGCCGUAAACGA